This 253-nucleotide ribosomal RNA is filed under the name uncultured bacterium. RNAcentral's name for it is "partial 16S ribosomal RNA". It matches the Rfam family "Bacterial small subunit ribosomal RNA", at positions 524 to 776 of the family's 1533-position model. The record is from RNAcentral.
UACGAAGGGGGCUAGCGUUGCUCGGAAUCACUGGGCGUAAAGGGUGCGUAGGCGGGUCUUUAAGCUGGUAGGUAAAUCCUGGAGCUCAACUCCAGAACUGCCUUUGAUACUGAGGAUCUUGAGUUCGGGAGAGGUGAGUGGAACUGCGAGUGUAGAGGUGAAAUUCGUAGAUAUUCGCAAGAACACCAGUGGCGAAGGCGGCUCACUGGCCCGAUACUGACGCUGAGGCACGAAAGCGUGGGGAGCAAACAGG